ACUCCGCUCACUCCCCCGCCCCGGCCAAUCAGAGGCCGCCGCUCCCCGCCUCCCGCGCCCUCCCGCGCCGGCCCGCACCCUCCAGCCCCGCCGGCCUCUUCCUAAAUCCCGAGCGAAAGCCCAAGCUGAACAUGAACUCUGCCCGGAGGCGACGGGCUGCGGCGGAGGGGGAGAGAGAGGAGGACAGGCUGCGACCCCGGGCUGGGGACGCCAGGGCAGGGACAGCGAGCAUCAGGAAGGAGAGCGUCCGGGGAACUCGAGUGGCCGCGCCCUGGGUCCUGCACCGUGAGGCUGGGGGGACCAGGACCGGCGGGCGCCCACCUUGGUCCUGAGCCCAGCUGCCGACGCUGGGCCAGCACCCUCUCCACCGCCGCCCUCCAGUGAGCAGAGCUGGGCUCAGGCAGCAGCCCCUGGGCGCGGGAAGGUAGCGGGAGCUGCAUUUAGGGGAGGGGGGAGGUAGCAGGAGCUCCGCCAGUGGGAACCUUGGAGUGAAUUCGUCGGCGGGUGCCAAGUCGAAGCGCCGACCUCCUGUCUCUGGACUGGGGCCCGGACCCCUGCGUCCCCAAACUGCGUCCCCGCCUUGCUCGUCGCCCGGUGCCUUCCUUAGGCGCAGCAGACCCUCGGUAAACAGCGGUUAAUUCGAUGGAAUCGGAUCACAGGGCCCUCGGUGAAGCAGAAAGGCGGAGGAAAUCCAGGAGGCAGAAGUGAGGACCCUGGCGCCUGGCGCCGCUGCGUUGUUCGUAUAAGAAGAGGCAUCCCGGAAGGGGCUUCAAACCACUUAGGACCGACUGCUGAAACGAAUCCAAGCUUGUGGUGUCUGCAGAAUUUAACUGUCCGCCUCAACCCCAGUUUUUGUUUCUAAGAUUAUCGAAAACUGUGCGGUUUGAGUGAUGUGCUACAAAGUGUUUAAAACAGAUUGUUUCCCAAAUUAGGGGUUUCCACACAAGAAAUCGCUGCUGUCGGCAAACACAGGAACUAUCUAUGGUUAAGACAAGGUGGUGUUCGUAACCAAACUAUAAACCUACAUAUACGAGGUGGUAAGAGAACCAGACCAAUGAACAGUUUCAGGCUGGCGUGGUGUGCCCGUGAACAAAGAAUUGUAAUACUGGCAAAAAUCUAAAUUGCUUUCUUUCCCUUUAUUUUCUCAUCACUAAAAUUAGGAAAAUGAACAGAUAUGUCAAAUCUCUUCUAACACCCAUGUUCUGUAACUCUCCUCGUAUGUACCUUAUAAUAAGACAAAGGUAAAGACAUUUCCAUGUGCAGCGAGGAAAAGUAAUAAUAAAAAUUAAAACAACUAGCAAGUAUGAAGCCCUCUUUUUAUACGGUAUGUGCUGUAUAAGCACUUCCCUCAUCCACCUCUAUGUUUUCACAGCACCUCUCAAGGGCUUGGACACGUGCAAAUGCAAACUGGCAAAGCCAGGAGUCAAGCCAGGCUGCUCAGUGGCCUUUGUGCUUCACCCCAGUUUAAUGCACCCGUCUUCAGAAGGGACAUCGUGUAUUAGGUGCUUCAACACAAGAUCCACGAAUAUCUCGUACAUCCCUAAAAUCAAGCAAAUGUCAUCUGAACCCAAUUACUGGGACAGCCCCCUCAUUACUCCCACUUACUUUUAGCCGUAUCUUCCCCAAUCCAAUCUCAAGUGUGAGCCCCAAAAUACUUCUGAUUUUUCACGCCUCCACUUAAAAAUCUUUUGAUUAUGUCAUAUUGCCGUUAGGGUAAAGUUCAAACAACUCAGCUGAUUUUGAGGGCUACAUUGGUGGGUGGUGGAGUACUGCCCGCUUUCCCUUCAUACUGUCAUGACAGUGAGGUUCUGAACUGUUCUUUGUGCAAACCCCACACGCUCUCUGCUCUCUCCAUUCCCAUUUUUGCACGUGUGAGUCUGCUGUCUCCUCUUCUUUGCUUCUCCUUUUCCUAAGAUUUGCCAAGCCAACUACUCUACACCUCCAUCGGAUUUUAGUUUACAUGUCUCUCCCCAUGUUUCUCCCCACUAGAAGCCUCCGUUGAUGAUCCCUUUCUAGACUGUGAUGGACGUACCUCCCAUAGCUCCCAUUGCACCAUUGUACUAAACUUGGACCACUGCAACUGUCAUGUGUCUAUUUAUCCCACAUGUAUAUAAACGCUAUAUGUUGUUUAUCACUAUAUCUUCAGUAAUAAUAAACAGGUAACAUAAUUGCAUAAGUGUGUAUAUCAUAGACCAUCAUGAAGUGUUUAUUGACUGAGAAAAGAAAUAUACAUCGUUGUGAACAUAAUGAAAGACGUCAUUUUUCAGAACAAACAGUUUGAUAAUAGAUGGUAUUGAUGAGGGGGUAUGAAAACAAAUGCUUCCUCAAAUUUUUGAUAUACUUUAACUAGUAAAAUCUCUCUGAUGGUAAAUUUUACAAUAUCUAUCCAUGUUUGAAAUGCAUGACCUAAUUAACUAAGCAAUUUCACUUCUAAAAAUUCGUCCUCUGAUAUACUUGUAGGUAUACACAAGGAUUUAAGAUUGAAAACAACCUAAAUUGUUAUUCAUCCAAACAAUGGAAUUCUCUGGAACUGUCAAGAUACAUAAGGCAAGUUAACAUUCAUUAAUAUAAAACAAUCUCAAAUAUAUAAUGUUAACAAAAAAAGAAAAACAAUGCUCAGAGUAUUUAGUAGUAUGCUAUCAUUUAUGGAGAAAAGAAGAUCUAUAGAGAUAUAAUAUUUCUGGAAGGAUACAUAAGAAAAUGGUCACAGUGAAGCGGAGUUGAAUGGCUCUAGCUAGAGUCUUGAGGUUUUGCCUGAUUCAAUAAGUACAUGCCAACAGAAUGUCUCCCAGCCUAUCAGAAAAGCCAGCUGGACCUCUCAAGUGUGUAUUUAUAUGUUUAAAUAGUGUAUUAAUGGGUUGCUAAUCAGAGGAAUAUUGGGUUUUUAAAAAAACAGUCAUUGAACAUUAACUCUAACUUAAGACAGAGCGACAUUUGGGAAGCACAAAUAAUUCCAGCAAAAGACAAAUGAAUUCUGUUGUGGGGUGAUCUCCUGAGAAGUUACUUAAAAUAUUAGUCAUUCUCUUAGACAAUUUAUUUUCCUUUCUAUUUUUCAACGAUCACCAAGUAACCUUGUAAUUAUUCAUCCUGCUUCUUAGUUUCCUUGACACUAAAAAGUGGAAUCCUUGAAAAUGGGUCAAAAGCAUUCUAAUCACAAAAAUAAAUUGACAUUCUGCUUUGAAACUGCAUUGCAUGUGAUUUUGAGUAACAUAAGUACAUAACCAAGAAAAUGAGCAUCUCUGGGUAUAUUGAAACAUCCAGUGUCUGGACCUGGAAGUAUAAUCUCAGACCUCAGAUGGACAAUAUUUCCAUGACUGGGCCCAAAGCCAUGCCCCAUUUGGUGAGCUUCCUAACUCACCUUUCUAUUAUUAAUUACUGUUCAAUCUAAAACAGGUGUCAUCCUAGUCUUAAAUACCAACCUUGAGUCUCCUAAAUGCCGAGCUUGAUAAAAGGGCUUCAAUGUGAAGUUUGAAAGAAAGAAGAAAAAAAAUUUAAGUCUAGAUAAGACUGCAAGACCAGAUAAUAAUGAGAACAUUAUAUUUAACAUUUUUAAAUGUAUGUAGUUUUCAGGAAUUUCAGGAAUUUUCCAGAAAUAACACAGAAUGUUUUUUUAAAAAGUGACACAUUUAAACAUGCAUAUGCACACAUUGGAGACCUCAGUUAUGUAUAAAACCAGGAAAAGAUAAUAGAGCUUUUGAAAAUGUUGUCACUGAGGAAAAAAAGAAAAAGAAGUUUCCAGGAUUAAGUUUCCAGGAUGUAUCAUGUUGUACAGAAAUGAUAACUGAGCUCUCUUGUCAAAGCCUACAAGGCCCCACUUGGUCUCUCCUGUGCCUCCUCCAUCCCUGCAGUCCCUCACCUUCUGACUCAGCUCUCCUAACAUCCCAUUUCUCAUACAUGCUGUAUUAGUCCAUUUUCACACUGCUAUAAAGAACUCCCCGAGACUGGGUAAUUUACAAAGGAAAGAGGCUUAACUGACUCACAGUUCUGCAUGGCUGGGGAACCCUUAGGAAAUUUACAAUCAUGGCAGAAGAUGAAGGGAAAGAAAAGACCUUCUUCACAUGGCCGUAGGAGAGGCAGAGCAGAGAGUGAAGGGGGAAGAGCCCCUCAUAAAACCAUCAGAUCUCGUGAGAACUCACUCACUAUCUUGAAAACAGCAUGGGGAACCACCUCCAUGAUCCAAUCACCUCCCACCAGGUCCCUCCCUCGACAUAUGGGGAUUCCAGUUCGAGAUGAGAUUUGGGUGGGGACACAGAGCCAAACCACAUCACAUGCUGAGCUUAUUCCUGCCUGCCCGUAAAGCUCUACCUCAGAGGUUCCCAGACUUUCUCAGUUCACACCACCCUUUACUGAAUGUCUCAGUAAUUAUUUUUCCUGGCACUUCUAGGCUGAGAUUUAUGAAGAUGAACCUAACACUUAUGUUUAUUAAGUAUUCAGAUGCUAACAAUUCAAUAAACAUUUACUUCUUGACAACAUUAGUAGCUAUUUGAAAAAAACAUAAAUUGAAAGAAAAAAUGUUUGUACUUCAUUUGUAAGCAGCCACAAUCACUUACCAAUGGGAUAGUAAUGGGCAUGACACAACCUCUCAAAUCUUAGGAUCAUAUUAGACACCACCACCUUCAUUUCCUGUUCCACACUAAUUUUCAUGUGGUAUUGCUCCUUAAUACCACAUGAAAUUGCAACCACCAAAACCCAGCUUUGCAAACAUAAUGAUGUCACUGAAAGAAUGUAGUGUAAUCUAGUGUUGAAACUAUCAACUACAUUGAGUCAGUAGUAUGCAUGGUGUCUAACAAAUGUCAAGUAUCUCUGAGUUUCUUUCAAAAUUUUAAUAUAUCCUGCGGUGCCCCUGUGAAUAUACGGCAGAAACCUGAGCACCUCCAUGAACCUGAGCACAAUUCCUGAACUAUGGUUCAUAUUUUUGUAUUGUGUUUGUUUUUGUCUGAGUUUUCUAGAAAACAGAUCCUGAGGCAAAACUUACAAGCCAAGACUUUAUGUGAAGUUGUAAUUCCAGGACUCAAGAAUGAAGGAAAAAGAGAAUCAAGGCUGAAAAGGAGGGGAAAGUAAAUUCAAGGUGGCGAGUUAUGAAUGACUACAGCAUCACAAAACAACAUACCUGCUUUCUUGGUCACCAGCACUUCUUCCAGACAGGACCUACAUCAUUAUAUCCAGAAACAUUCUGUCCACAGGAGAGAGUGGAGAUUCUCUGCCAAUGUCUUCUUGUCUCCUGUUGAAACUGGUUGAAGUUUGUCCCUUAGAGAACUAAUUAAUUCACCCUCACCUCCAGGUUCUGUUACUGGCUCUUUAUGGCAACUGCUAGGGAACCCAGAUCCCCCAGUGAUUGGAGGAACCUCUGAGGAUACAGACUGAUUGCACCUGAGCACCAAACUUGUGAGUCUCCUUCUAAUGCAAUCUCAGUGGAAUCCAGUCACUGGGAGAGGCUGAGGUCACUGGCACAGUUGGGAUAUGAGGCACUGGCAAUGGCAAUGGUGGCUUGGGCUGGCCACUGAGCAAGCAAAGACACAAAGGUGUGAGAGAAUAGAUGGAAGCCAGCCAUUCUGGGGACAUAAAUUGUGUCUUAUGUGCUCCAAUUCUUCUUAUCAUUCAGGUCUUACUUCUCAUGUUAUCUCAUCAGAGAAGCCUCUCGCUCCCUAAACUGCCCUUCUCAGCCAUUAGCUAACAUAGAACUGUGUCUGUGUUAAACUGUUCCCGUGUUCAACCUAGAGUUGAAGAUUGUCAGACUUAUAUCAUGGCCAUAAAAAAUAUGAAGCUACAGUGGGAGCUUGCUGAAUUAGUAUGGAGAAAAAUAUUUUAGGUUCUAUUGAUAGGAAUUGAUUUCAACAGGCAGUGUCUAAGCUAGAUUUAACUAAAAAUAGAACUAUUAUAUUGCAAGGAGGGAAGAGGUCUUUAGAUUACCCAGUCCAGCCCCCUCUCAUGCAUGGUGCUCCCACAGCAUCUCUUCAUGUGAUUUUUUUUUUUAGACUUAAACAAUUGAAGUUACAGAGGAGUCACUACUUUCUAAGACAACCUAGUCAUUUUCAACAGGCUCUGUCAUAAAGUGCUUUCCAUUUUUUUUUUUUAUCAUUAUUCCUCAUUCGAACUGCUGGUGUACCAAAAAAACCUAUGUAUAAUUUACAAUGACUGUACUUGAGCAGCUAGUUUGCGGGGGGCAAAUUGAGGAAUUAGCUUGCAUUCCCACUCAAUUUCCUCUUGCUGUGUUCUGACUCUCACUCUCUCAGGCAAAAGUCUUUGGGAUCCAGAGUCUGACAUUCAUUGCAUUCACUAUUUUUCUUGGUUACUUAUCAAGAGCAGGCCUGAUCUGCAGCAAACUCAAUGAAGUCACCAAUAAAUUUCCUCCCAAAAAGGAUAAGGUUGGCCUCAGAAUGUGCAAUGCACUCCUGGAAACCUUAAUUCAUUCUGACAGUCAUUUGUUUUACAGGCAGUUGGUAAAUGUCUACUUGUAAUUAUAAUGUACUGUUCAAGGUACCAGUAAUUCAGUGAGGAAAAACUAAAGACCCUGCUCUUUUGGUGCUAAACAUUCCAAUGUUCCACUAAUUAAUAACUUCUGUGUAUAGUUAUUAAAAUCCAUAUUAAAACAUUCAGCUGGACUCUCAUUCAAUCUGCAUUCCUGUAUUUGUGUGCAAAGUUUGGUUGGUAAACUAUGCCUAAUAUUCUUUUUAUUGCAUUUCCCUAAGGUAUCAAACAAGAAAUGCUAUCAAGGAAAAUGAUGCUAAUCUAAUAUGACUUUUUAAUUAAUCCAUUUAGAUUUGCAGGGAACAUAUAUUUACUGUUUCAGCAUAUUACAAAGACUUUUUGAGCCUCUUCGUGUAUGAACAUUCUGCUAAUGCUAAGGAUUCAAAGAUGGAUACAAUUAGAUAACUUCCCUGGAAGAGACUACCAUUUAAUUGUAAUAAAUGAAAACCAUUUCCUUUCGUCUUCACUUCUUUUUACGUAGAGUAAUGAAAGUCAAGUGGCAAACACCUUGACCUUUUAACUUAAAAGCCAUUCACAUUCCCUUUCUCCAUCUUCCUAGAAUAUAGAGAUGUACAAGAUGAAAUGCUUUCUUUUCCACUGCCCUUAAGUGAAGUGUGACUAUGUGACCUGGUUCUGAACAAGGAGAUCAAAGCCAAAAUAAUCAAAUGGAGCUUCUUCUGGAGAUGUGUUUUAUUAGUACAGAAAGAUAAUAUGCCCUCUCAGUCCUUUGCCCUUUUCCUUCUUCAUGCUUAGAGAGGAGCUCAAUGCCCACAAGUAUAAUAACCGUCUUGCAACCAUGAAAAUGAAAACCAUUCACUAAGCAUGGAAGAGUCAGAAAAUGUAAUAGGCCUUAGUCCUUGAUGACUUCUUUGAGCAGUUGCCAGCCGACUACAGUCCACCUACUGCUAGACUUUUUAUUAUGUAAGGAAAUUAAACUCUGAUCUGUAUAAGCCACUGUUAAGUGGAUUUAUUUUUUUCUUUACUUGCAGCCAAAUGCAUUCUUAUAACAUGGCACAAAUAAAUUCAGAAAAAUACUUGAUAUAUUGAUUGAAAUAUUCAUAAUAAUCCAUAUAAAAUAAGAUAUUUGGACUAUCUUGUCCCUAAAAUUAUACUUUUAUGGAUAAUUUCCAAACUUAACUAUAAAAUUAGCAAUAUUACUCUUUAAUCAAAUAAUCUCACUUCUAGAAAUGCAUCUUAAGAAAAAAAUCCCAAAUGAAGAUUCCAAGUAAAGAAAGAUAUUUGUUAUAGAAUUGUUUAUAAUGUUAAAUUAAAGAAAGUGACUUAGCUGGUCAACAAUAGGAAAAUAAUUAAGUAAAUUUUUCAAUGUCCAGUGGAGGAACCUUAUGCAGACCUCCAAAAUAAUAGUUGUGGGUCUAAGUAGAAAUAAUACAAAUUGCUGAUGAUGUGCUAAAUGAAAACACUAGGAUAUAAAAUUAAGUGAUACCAUCCUUGAAACUAUAUAGAAUAUGAAUAAACAAAGAAAAGGAACACAAAACAGGAAAUUAGUUGACUUUAAAGAUAACUCUUAAUUUUUAAAUUAUUUAUAGUGUUACACUUGUAAGACAUUUUAAAUGAUAAAUAUUAUUUUAUUAAAUACUGUAUUAUUUUAAAAUAUAUCUUCUCUUGUGCCUCUACCAGGGACAGAGGUAUUAUAAACCUAUGGUUUAGAACACUGGAAAAAUAUAAACAGAGCUAUAGAUUUAAACAAACAACAUAAAACAUUUUAAUUCAGUAUAUAGAGGUAAAAUUGGGAAUGCUCAUAAAGAUUAGAAUGGUUCCACUCAAGAAUGAACAUGAAAUGUAAAGUCAAAUAAGGUAAAGAAAUUUGGUUAUGGUUUUGUUUUCCUUGAGUGUCAUGCACAAUGAAGUUAUUUUAAUAAUUAAGGUUGUCUUUUGCACAAAUGAAAAUGGCAAUAAUAAGAUGUCAGAGCUGUAAGGGAUGUUGGAGAUUAUCUGUCAUCAUCUUUCACUCACAAAUUAAGAAACAGACCUUGAGAAGAUAAAUGACUCACCCAAGGUCACAUAAGUAGUCAGUGGAGAAGGAGCAAUGAAGUUCAGGUCUUUUUCAAUGUUAUUCAUCCCCCAGAAUAAACACGCAUUAAAUAAGCAUUCAUUAAGUAGCUAGCUAUUCUGUGCUAGCUGUAUUUGGACACUGUGAAUAUACGGGACACUGUGUUUCACACUCUACACAAAGAUAAGUUGUGGACAUAUCCUACCCUUAAAGGAUCAGAGUUUUGUGGGGUGAACAUUAGGGUAAUAAUUAUAAGACAUAUUGAUAUAAGUACUUGCAUUCUACUAAGUUCCAUGUGCCUUGGGGCAUGACCUUGAAGGACAUAACAUAACAUUUGGUGUCUGAGAAGUCUCAGGAAAGAAAUGACUUUUGCCUUAUCUCUAAAGGUUUGAGUGAAAUUUUACCACCCAGAAACAGCACAUUGCAAAAGCACAGAAAAAUGAAAAACUUGGGUGUUCUACAGAAUGCAGAAUACAUUGAUAUGGCACAAAUUUGGAAUGGGGGUAGGUGGCAAGGAAGAAGGGGAGGCAGAUGAGGCUAGAGUGGGGCAAGUUACAGACACUUGGAGAGAUUCUUCUAUUCUGAGGAUUUUGAAAUUUGUGGAAUAGGAAGAUAAAAUACAUGGAUUAUUCCUAGGCAGGAAAAAUGGUAUAAUCAUAUAAUGUAAGUUUCAGAAAUGUAUCAAGGUGUGGAGGACAAAGCUGGACAGGAAGAAGCAGGAAGACAAGUUAUGAGGCUAUUGAGGUAGUCUGUGCAAGAUAUACUAAGGACCUGAUAUGAGGAAGUGACAGUGGGCUAGGAAAGGGAAUAAAUACUUGAAAGAUAUUUCUGAGGUAUAAUUUUUAAAAUUUUAACAAAUUGGUUGUAAAUAGGGAAAUGGUGGAAUAAGAGUUAAAUCCAACCAUCCUGAAGUAGUUUAAUCAAUAAGUAGCUCUAGAAAUUUUAGGCAAAUUUAAAUAACACAAAAACCCUAAAAGAAUUUAAUUUGCUCCUAUCUGUACGUCACAAAGUGAUGCUCAAAACUUCCAUAAUUAGCACAUCAAAUCUCUUGGUAAUCAAAUGCAAGUUUUGCAAGGGAGAUCUUGAAUUAAGAAUAUAUAUCACACUUACCAAGACUGAAUCAGGAAGACAUAGAAAUAUGAAUCAGAUCUAUAACUAGUAAUGAGAUUGAAUUAUUAAUCAACUAUCAAACAAAGGAAAGUCCAGGACCAAAUGGGUGUCACUGGUGGAUUCUGCUAAACGUUUAAAGAAGAAUUAACACUAAUUAUCCUCAGACUCUUCCAGAAAAUUAAAGAGUUCCAAACUCAUUCUAUAAGGCCAGCAUUAAUCUUAUACCAAACCCAGACAAAAACACUUCAGGAAAACUAUAGACUAAUAUCCCUGAUGAAUAUUGACACAAAAUCCUCAACAAAAUGCUACCAAACAGAAUUCAACAGCAUAUUUAAAAGAUUCUACACAAUGACUAUGUGAGAUUUAUUUCUGGAAUGUGAGGAUGAUUCAACAGAUGAAAAUCAAUCAAUGUAAUAUAUCACAUUAACAAAUCAAUCAAUGUAGUAUAUCACAUUUACAAAACGAAGGGUAAAAAAAACUCAGUCGUCUCAAUUGAUAUAAAAAAGAACCUGACAAAAUUCAACAACCUUGAAUAAUACAAUAAAAUAACUCAAUAAACUAAGGAUAGAGGGUAACUACCCUAACAUAAUAAAAGCCAUAUAUGAAAAAUUCACAGCUCACGUCAUAUUCAAUGGUGAAAGACUGAAAGCUCUGUCUCCAAUAUCAGAAACAAGACAAUUAUGCCCACUUUUGCCAUUUCUAUUCAACACAGUCCUGGAAGCUUAAGCCAGCACUAUUAGGCAAGAAAAAUCAGUAAAAGGCUACACACUGAAAGAAAGAGGUAAAAUUAUCUCCGUCUGCAGACAUAAUCUUAAGUGUAGAAUGCUUUAAAGAUUUCACCAAUUAUUAUUUUUUAAACUACUAGAACUAACAAAUUCAGCAAAGUUGCAGGAUACAAACUCAACACAAAAGAAGCAGGUGUGUUUCUAUACACUAACAAUGAGCAAUCCAAAAAAAUAAGAAGCAGCAGCCAAUUCCAUUUACAGUAGCACCAAAAAUAAUAAAAUACUUCGGAGUAACUUAACCAAGGUGGUCAAAAAAUUGUAUAUUGAAAACUACAAAACAAUGUUUAAGCAAAUAAGACACAAAUAAAUGGAAAUAUAUUUUUGUUUAUUAGUUAAAAGACUUAAUAUUGUUAACAUAUCAGUACUACCCAAAGCAAUCUAUAGAUUUAUGCAAUUCCUGUCAAAAUACCAGUAGCAUUUUUUGCAGAAAUAGAAAAAUCCAUUUUCAGAUUCAUAUGAAAUCACAGGGGACCCCAAAUAGCCAAAACAAUCUUCUAAAAAAAGAACAAAGAUGGAGGUUUUACAUUUCCUGAUUUCAAAACUUAUUAAAAUGCUAUAUUAAUCAAAACUAUGUGGUACUGGCAUAAAGACAUGCAUAUAGACCAAUGGAAUAGAAUAAGAGAGCUCAGAAAUUAGCUCUCAUACAUAGGGUCAAAUGAUUUUUGGCAAGAGUGUCAAGACUGUUCAAUGGGGAAACAGUGUCUCCUCAACAAAUGAUGCUGGGAAAAUUGGACAUCCAUAUGCAAAAGAAUGAAUUUGGACCUCUAUCUUACACCAUAUACAAAAAUUACGUCAAAAUGGAUCAAAGAUCUAAACUGAAGACCUAAAACUAUAAAAUGCUUACCAGAAAAUAUAGAGGAAAAGCUUUAUGAUAUUAAAUUUGGCAAAGAUUUCCUGGACAUGACACCAAAAACACAGGCAAGAAAAGUAAAAGUAGACAAAUUGAAAUAUAUCAAAAUAUAAAACUUCUGUGCAUCAGAGGACACAAGCAACAGAGUAAAAAGGCAAACUAUGGAAUUAAAGAGAAUAUUUGUAAAUACAUCUGAUAAGGAAUUAAUAUCCAGAAUAUAUUAAGAACUCCUACAACUGAACAACAACAAAAAAAUAACCUGAUUUAAAAAUGGAAAAAAAUCUGAACAGACAUUUUUCAAAAGUGAUAUAUAAACGGAUAUAAAUGGCCAACAAGCAUAUGAAAAGAUAUUCAACAUUGUUAAUCAUUAGGGAAAUGCAAAUCAAAACCAACAAUGAGAUAUCACUCACACCCAUUAGAAUGAAGAAGAAAGAAAAAAAAGAUGGAAGGAAGGAAGAAAAAAAAAGAAAGAAAGAAGGAAAGAAAGACAGGGAAAGAAGAGUUGAUAAAGAUAAGGAGAAAUUGGAACUUUAGUGCACGAUUGGGAAUGUAAAAUGGUGCAGACACAAGGAAAAGAGUGUAGCAGUUUCUAUAUGAUCCAACAAUUCCACUGUUGCACAUAUAUAUGCAAAAUAAUUGAAGGCAAGAUUUCAAAGAGAUAGUUACAUACUCAUAUUCAUAGCAGCACUAUUCACAAUAGCCAAGAGGUAAAACCAACGCAAGUGUCCAUUAAUGGAUGAACAGAUAAGCAAAAUGAGAUCUAUUCAUACAAUGCAAUAUUAAUUAGCCUUCAAAAGGAAGAAAACUCUGACACAGUCAACAACUUGGAUGAAUUUUGAAAACAUUAUGCUAAGUGAAAUAAGCCAGUCACAAAGAGACAAAUACUGUAUGAUUCCACUUAAUAAGAGAUAUCUAGAGUCGUCAGAUUCUUAGAAAUGGAAAGUAGAAUGGUGAUUGCCAGGCACCAGGGCAAGGUGAAAGAAACAGUUGUUAUUUAAUGGGUACAGAGUUUCUGUUUUGCAAAUGAAAAAGUUCUGGAGAUUGGUUGUACAGCAAUGUGCAUAUACUUAAUACUCCUGAAUUAUACAAUUAGAAAUUGUUACAAUGGUAAAUUUUAUAUAUAUUCUUAACCACAAUCGAAUUUUUGAAAAAAGAAUACUAGUGGUGGAAAACCUCUGAAAGAAGGGUAAAAAACUAUGUUAUGGGCAACAAUGAAAAUAAAUUUACACUGAGGCCACAAAUUAUUGAAAUUCAUCUCUGACUUUAAGUCUCAGACCAUGAGCAAGGAAAAUAAAUUCUCUUAAGAAGAUAGGCCCAAAUGACUAAGAGUCAGGUAGAAGCAAUUUGCAAAGCAAGGAAAGAAAUAAUUUCUUGAUGGAGUCAUCUACACUGUGAUGCCAAUCCCUGCACCAGUUUUCGUUGGAGCGUGCCCUCCCCUCUUCAUUAAUCAAAGGUAAUGCAGAAUUACAGAAUGGAAUUACUUGCCAAAGAGUUUUCCAUUUUCUGUCCCUGAGAUGAUGCUGAUUGGAGCGAGAAAAGUUUUCUGAGGACAAAUGCUCACGCUCUUAGCACCAGAGUUUGCUUGUAGCAAAAACAGAAUGCUUAGAGGUGUGCUUUUGUUAUUAUUCUCAGUGGCUCUGGUGAGCCCAGUGCAAUCAGCGAUACUCAUCCAGGCCAAUUCACCAUUAGGGAGCCGCACAUGAAACCAUUUACAUUUCCCAUUUUGUUUCAAGCAAGUCAGGUCUUUAACUGGAUUGUGGUAAUUGAACCUUCCUGUUACAACACUGCUUUUGCUGCCCAACGGAUUCAAAAGCUGCUCUCGUUACAUUUAUUUGAACUUUUAUUUCAUUCAUACUUUAUACCUCUGGUUCUCAAUCUUCAGUCCUGUAGCGAACUCUAUAAAAGGAAAAAGAAAUUCUUACAGACUCUCACAGAUUCAUUUAAAUUCUUUUUUUGUUUUAUUUUAUUAUUAUUAUU
Molecule: long non-coding RNA, 13201 nt
Filed under: Homo sapiens (human)
Lineage: Eukaryota; Metazoa; Chordata; Mammalia; Primates; Hominidae
Description: non-protein coding lnc-AKR1D1-5:2
Source: RNAcentral